RNAcentral lists this ribosomal RNA (484 nucleotides) under uncultured bacterium. RNAcentral describes it as "partial 16S ribosomal RNA". It matches the Rfam family "Bacterial small subunit ribosomal RNA", at positions 30 to 507 of the family's 1533-position model. The record is from RNAcentral.
AUUGAACGCUGGCGGCAGGCCUAACACAUGCAAGUCGAGCGGAUGAAGGGAGCUUGCUCCCGGAUUCAGCGGCGGACGGGUGAGUAAUGCCUAGGAAUCUGCCUGGUAGUGGGGGAUAACGUCCGGAAACGGGCGCUAAUACCGCAUACGUCCUGAGGGAGAAAGUGGGGGAUCUUCGGACCUCACGCUAUCAGAUGAGCCUAGGUCGGAUUAGCUAGUUGGUGGGGCAAAGGCCUACCAAGGCGACGAUCCGUAACUGGUCUGAGAGGAUGAUCAGUCACACUGGAACUGAGACACGGUCCAGACUCCUACGGGAGGCAGCAGUGGGGAAUAUUGGACAAUGGGCGAAAGCCUGAUCCAGCCAUGCCGCGUGUGUGAAGAAGGUCUUCGGAUUGUAAAGCACUUUAAGUUGGGAGGAAGGGCAGUAAGUUAAUACCUUGCUGUUUUGACGUUACCAACAGAAUAAGCACCGGCUAACUUCGUG